This 82-nucleotide transfer RNA is filed under the name Saccoglossus kowalevskii. RNAcentral's name for it is "tRNA-Ser". It matches the Rfam family "tRNA". Rfam says of the family: Transfer RNA (tRNA) molecules are approximately 80 nucleotides in length. Their secondary structure includes four short double-helical elements and three loops (D, anti-codon, and T loops). The record is from RNAcentral. Lineage: Eukaryota; Metazoa; Hemichordata; Enteropneusta; Harrimaniidae.
GUAGUCGUGGCCGAGUGGUUAAGGCGAUGUACUAGAAAUUCAUUGGGCUCUGCCUGCACUGGUUCGAAUACUGCCGACUACG